GGAUGUUUUUUUUUUCUUACUUCAUAUUAAUUUGCUGGUUCUAAUGAUCCCUUUUAUCCAGGAUGUAAAAUUUAUUUAAAGAUACCAAUAUCUUACAGGAUUAUUGAAAAAAAAACACACACAGUAUACUUUCAUUUCUAUGUGCUUUUAGCAGCAAACAAGUUCUGACUUCAGACACUGGAAUCCUAUGCCUGACAUUCUCUUUUCUGGCUCCGUUUUAUUUGCAGCCUUAUUUUGUAUUUGCAUUGCAUUCUGUCCAGAGUGCUACAGCAACAGCUGCCAUCUAAAGGCCAAGGUGGGGCUAUAGGAGUGAUGGUGGCUGGUUCGCCCCGGUUCAGGAGAACCGGUAGUGGUGGCAGUGGGAGGAUAUCAUCACGGAUGCUCUGAGCAUGCACAGAAGGUUCUACGCAUGCGCAGAAGUGCCACAAGCGCGCUCACAGUUCCGAACCGGUAGUGAAGAGAUGGAUAUUCAGAACUUCCCGAAAAUACAGAUUUGGAACAGAUGCAUCACUUUGUCUAGAUAAUGUGUGCAUGUAUUCCAGUUCAAACACUCAGAGUGAGAAUUACCUUGCAAGCUUGGAUCCUUAUCAAAAUCCAAUUGGAGGCUGAGCUGUAUUUACAGAAUGUGGAUGAUAAUGGCCUUGGUUUUUCAUGCCAUCUCACUGGUGUGCUUCAGCAUGACCUUGUCAAAGUUAAAAGCUCAUAAAAUUCUAUUUAUUUUUUAUGGCAUUAUGAUUCUGUGUAACAGGGCUUAAAACAAAAACACAGUAUAAUUAUACUGUCGAUCAAACAACUAAGAAAGGCAUUUUUCCACCAGCUUUGCACCUAGCAAACUGUAAAUAAUUAAUAAAACUAGAGGCCAUGACUAAGUGGAAGCGUUGGGGGGCUAGUUAAGCAUUUGUCAUCACUCUGGUUAAAGCAACUCAUACACAGCUCUGACUGUUUACUUUUAUCCUGUGAGUACAAAAAUAGUUGUUUGUUCUUAUUGGAUUGCCAUGCAUGAGCCUAAUAAAAAGCUCAAGCUGUCAACAGCACUAUGAACAGGUGUACAAUGCGUACUUAUUGUUUAAUUCAUCUGACUUUCCAGCCCAUUUAGCUUACGACAAAUAAAAACAAAAAUAUUUUCUUCAUUAUCUCCAAUUAAUGUAAAUGUCAAACAUGGUGAAUAUAUUAGCAUGUGUAUAAUGCAUUGUGUAUUGAUGUGGCAGAUUUCUUGCAAUAAAGUGACUUUUUCUGAAUAUAA
Non-coding RNA from Pantherophis guttatus, 1243 nucleotides. Lineage: Eukaryota; Metazoa; Chordata; Lepidosauria; Squamata; Colubridae. The record is from RefSeq and is a predicted model, not a curated record.